GAUGAACGCUGGCGGCGUGCUUAACACAUGCAAGUCGAACGAAGCACUUUAUUACGAUUUCUUCGGAAUGACGAUUUAGUGACUGAGUGGCGAACGGGUGAGUAACGCGUGAGGAACCUGCCUCAAAGAGGGGGGAUAACAGUUGGAAACGACUGCUAAUACCGCAUAAGCCCACGGUGCCGCAUGGCACAGAGGGAAAAGGAGUGAUCCGCUUUGAGAUGGCCUCGCGUCCGAUUAGCUAGUUGGUGAGGUAAUGGCCCACCAAGGCGACGAUCGGUAGCCGGACUGAGAGGUUGAACGGCCACAUUGGGACUGAGACACGGCCCAGACUCCUACGGGAGGCAGCAGUGGGGAAUAUUGCACAAUGGGGGGAACCCUGAUGCAGCGACGCCGCGUGGAGGAAGAAGGUCUUCGGAUUGUAAACUCCUGUUGUUGGGGAAGAUAAUGACGGUACCCAACAAGGAAGUGACGGCUAACUACGUG
RNAcentral lists this ribosomal RNA (483 nucleotides) under uncultured bacterium. RNAcentral describes it as "bacterial SSU rRNA". It matches the Rfam family "Bacterial small subunit ribosomal RNA", at positions 28 to 507 of the family's 1533-position model. The record is from RNAcentral.